RNAcentral lists this ribosomal RNA (800 nucleotides) under Leuconostoc sp. AJ4. RNAcentral describes it as "bacterial SSU rRNA". It matches the Rfam family "Bacterial small subunit ribosomal RNA", at positions 59 to 841 of the family's 1533-position model. Lineage: Bacteria; Bacillati; Bacillota; Bacilli; Lactobacillales; Lactobacillaceae. The record is from RNAcentral.
CAGUCGACGCACAGCGAAAGGUGCUUGCACCUUUCAAGUGAGUGGCGAACGGGUGAGUAACACGUGGACAACCUGCCUCAAGGCUGGGGAUAACAUUUGGAAACAGAUGCUAAUACCGAAUAAAACUCAGUGUCGCAUGACACAAAGUUAAAAGGCGCUUUGGCGUCACCUAGAGAUGGAUCCGCGGUGCAUUAGUUAGUUGGUGGGGUAAAGGCCUACCAAGACAAUGAUGCAUAGCCGAGUUGAGAGACUGAUCGGCCACAUUGGGACUGAGACACGGCCCAAACUCCUACGGGAGGCUGCAGUAGGGAAUCUUCCACAAUGGGCGAAAGCCUGAUGGAGCAACGCCGCGUGUGUGAUGAAGGCUUUCGGGUCGUAAAGCACUGUUGUAUGGGAAGAACAGCUAGAAUAGGGAAUGAUUUUAGUUUGACGGUACCAUACCAGAAAGGGACGGCUAAAUACGUGCCAGCAGCCGCGGUAAUACGUAUGUCCCGAGCGUUAUCCGGAUUUAUUGGGCGUAAAGCGAGCGCAGACGGUUAAUUAAGUCUGAUGUGAAAGCCCGGAGCUCAACUCCGGAAUGGCAUUGGAAACUGGUUAACUUGAGUGCAGUAGAGGUAAGUGGAACUCCAUGUGUAGCGGUGGAAUGCGUAGAUAUAUGGAAGAACACCAGUGGCGAAGGCGGCUUACUGGACUGUAACUGACGUUGAGGCUCGAAAGUGUGGGUAGCAAACAGGAUUAGAUACCCUGGUAGUCCACACCGUAAACGAUGAACACUAGGUGUUAGGAGGUUUCCGCCUCUU